RNAcentral lists this ribosomal RNA (261 nucleotides) under Triticum aestivum (bread wheat). Its description in RNAcentral is "partial small subunit ribosomal RNA". Lineage: Eukaryota; Viridiplantae; Streptophyta; Magnoliopsida; Poales; Poaceae. The record is from RNAcentral.
AUGCGCCUAAUCAGAAAAACUUUUCUUAUUCGUCUUUUUCUAUCUUCCCACUCAUCUCCACUAUACCCCUAGUCUUCUAAUUCCUUCCAUUCGACCAAAGAAUUCUCUAUAAUAAUUCGCAAAUCCAAAUCUGCUAAUUGUUCUCUAAUAGCACCUGCUCCUGCCGCAAUUUACCGAUUUCGAAAUGCGAUCAGCGAAAGCGAACCCUUCAGUACAUCGCGUUCAGCCCUCCCUCAAAAUCCCAUUUGUUUUAUUGAGUAA